This 295-nucleotide unclassified non-coding RNA is filed under the name uncultured Phialocephala. RNAcentral's name for it is "sequence contains ITS1". The stretch from base 1 to 105 matches the Rfam family "5.8S ribosomal RNA", at positions 50 to 154 of the family's 154-position model. Lineage: Eukaryota; Fungi; Ascomycota; Leotiomycetes; Helotiales. The record is from RNAcentral.
GAAAUGCGAUAAGUAAUGUGAAUUGCAGAAUUCAGUGAAUCAUCGAAUCUUUGAACGCACAUUGCGCCCCUUGGUAUUCCGGGGGGCAUGCCUGUUCGAGCGUCAUUACAACCCUCAAGCUUUGCUUGGUAUUGGGCCUCGCUGCGAAAGCGGCGGGCCUUAAACUCAGUGGCGGUGCCAUCUGGCUCUAAGCGUAGUAAUAUCUCUCGCUAUAGGGUUCCGGUGGAUGCUUGCCAGCAACCCCAAAUUUUCUAUGGUUGACCUCGGAUCAGGUAGGGAUACCCGCUGAACUUAA